This 450-nucleotide ribosomal RNA is filed under the name uncultured bacterium. RNAcentral's name for it is "partial 16S ribosomal RNA". It matches the Rfam family "Bacterial small subunit ribosomal RNA", at positions 354 to 796 of the family's 1533-position model. The record is from RNAcentral.
GUGGGGAAUAUUGGACAAUGGGCGAAAGCCUGAUCCAGCCAUGCCGCGUGUGUGAAGAAGGUCUUCGGAUUGUAAAGCACUUUAAGUUGGGAGGAAGGGCAGUAAGUUAAUACCUUGCUGUUUUGACGUUACCAACAGAAUAAGCACCGGCUAACUUCGUGCCAGCAGCCGCGGUAAUACGAAGGGUGCAAGCGUUAAUCGGAAUUACUGGGCGUAAAGCACGCGUAGGUGGUUUUGUAAGUUGGAGGUGAAAUCCCCGGGCUCAACCUGGGAACUGCCUCCAAAACUGCAUGACUAGAGUACGGUAGAGGGUAGUGGAAUUUCCUGUGUAGCGGUGAAAUGCGUAGAUAUAGGAAGGAACACCAGUGGCGAAGGCGACUACCUGGACUGAUACUGACACUGAGGUGCGAAAGCGUGGGGAGCAAACAGGAUUAGAAACCCCGGUAGUCC